This 406-nucleotide unclassified non-coding RNA is filed under the name plant metagenome. RNAcentral's name for it is "partial contains 5.8S ribosomal RNA, internal transcribed spacer 2, and large subunit ribosomal RNA". The stretch from base 1 to 105 matches the Rfam family "5.8S ribosomal RNA", at positions 50 to 154 of the family's 154-position model. The record is from RNAcentral.
GAAGUGCGAUAAGCAAUGCGAAUUGCAGAAUUCCGCGAAUCAUCAGAUCUUUGAACGCAAAUGGCGCCAGAGGGAUAUCCUUCUGGCAUGUCUGUUUCAGUGUCUGAGAGGUUUCAUAAUAAUCUUAAUGUGAUUGAACUCAGUCUGUCUGUCUGUUUUAUUACAAACAAACAAACUGCUCUUUUCUCUCAUGAAAGAUGCGCAAGGGGAUCUUUCGGUCCAAUGAAGUGGUCACAUCACUCGAAUGUGAUUUCAUUGGAAGCACCGAAUUAUCAUUUUAAAAAACUACUUGCGGUACCUUAAAACCAAAUUAUUAUUAUUAUUAGAUGUUCUUCGCAUCCAAAUAAUAAUAAUACUCUCUAUACCCUGCAUCUGAGAUAGGCAAGAUCACCCGCUGAACUUAAGC